GAUGAAGAACGUAGCGAAAUGCGAUACUUGGUGUGAAUUGCAGAAUCCCGUGAACCAUCGAGUCUUUGAACGCAAGUUGCGCCCGAAGCCAUUAGGCCGAGGGCACGCCUGCCUGGGCGUCACACGUCGUUGCCCCCCCAUCUACUCCUUCGGGAUUGCGGGGGGCGGAUGAUGGACUCUCGUGCGCCUCGUCGCGCGGUUGGCCUAAAUGCCAAGUCCUCGGCGACGCACGCCACGACAAUCGGUGGUUGCGAAACCUCGGUUGCCUGUCGUGUGCGGUCGUCGCGCAUCGAGGGCUCGAAAAAAUUGCCGGGCUUCGGCUCGACUUUCAACGCGACCCCAGGUCAGGCGGGGUUACCCGCUGAAUUUAAGCAUAUCAAUAAGCGGAGGA
RNAcentral lists this unclassified non-coding RNA (391 nucleotides) under soil metagenome. RNAcentral describes it as "partial contains 5.8S ribosomal RNA, internal transcribed spacer 2, and large subunit ribosomal RNA". The stretch from base 1 to 122 matches the Rfam family "5.8S ribosomal RNA", at positions 35 to 154 of the family's 154-position model. The record is from RNAcentral.